Molecule: ribosomal RNA, 801 nt
Filed under: Canalisporium krabiense
Lineage: Eukaryota; Fungi; Ascomycota; Sordariomycetes
Description: partial 28S large subunit ribosomal RNA
Rfam family: Eukaryotic large subunit ribosomal RNA
Source: RNAcentral
UAGCGGCGAGCGAAGCGGCAACAGCCCAGAUUUGAAAUCCGGUGCCCUUUGGGCGCCCGAGUUGUAAUCUGCAGAUGGGUUUUCCGGUGAGGCGCGCGUCCAAGUUCCCUGGAAUGGGACGCCGUAGAGGGUGAGAGCCCCGUACUGGCGCCGCGCCGAGCCUCUGUGAGGCCCAUUCGACGAGUCGAGUAGUUUGGGAAUGCUGCUCUAAUUGCGAGGUAAAUCUCUCGUAAGGCUAAAUACCGGCCAGAGACCGAUAGCGCACAAGUAGCGUGAGCGAAAGAUGAAAAGAGCCUUGGAUAAGGGCGUCAAAAAGCAUGUGAAAUCGUUAUGGGGGAAGCGCUCGUCGCCAGACGUGGCGGCGGCUGGUUAGCCGGCGUUCUCGCCGGCGCACUCGGACCGCCGCCAGGCCAGCAACAGCUCGGGCUGGGGCCCACUGCCGGAGGGAACGUAGCUCCCCUUGUGGGAGUGUUAUAGCCCUUCGGCGACGCCCUGGACCGGGCUGAGGACCGCGCCUUGCGCACGGAUGCUGGCGUAAUGGCGCCUAGCGACCCGUCUUGAAACACGGACCAAGGAGUUGACCUAGCGCGCGAGUGUACGGGUGUAAAGCCCUUGCGCGUAGUGAAAGCAAACGCUGGUGGGAGCCUUCGGGCGCACCAUCGACCGAUCCUGAUGCUCCGCGGAUGGAUUUGAGUAGGAGCGCGCUGGGUCUGACCCGAAAGAAGGUGAACUAUGCAUGGGUAGGGUGAAGCCAGAGGAAACUCUGGUGGAGGCUCGCAGCGGUUCUGACGUGCAAAUCGA